RNAcentral lists this transfer RNA (69 nucleotides) under Streptomyces sp. ADI98-10. RNAcentral describes it as "tRNA-Gly". Lineage: Bacteria; Bacillati; Actinomycetota; Actinomycetes; Kitasatosporales; Streptomycetaceae. The record is from RNAcentral.
GGGUCCUUGGGGAGCAGUUCCUCGGCCAGCUGCCAGCUGCCCCAGCGGGUGCCCAUCCCGAGGACGCCC